CAGCCCUGUGACGUCUGGAGCAUUGGCUGCAUUCUCUUUGAGUACUACCGGGGCUUCACACUCUUCCAGACCCACGAAAACCGAGAGCACCUGGUGAUGAUGGAGAAGAUCCUAGGGCCCAUCCCAUCACACAUGAUCCACCGUACCAGGAAGCAGAAAUAUUUCUACAAAGGGGGCCUAGUUUGGGAUGAGAACAGCUCUGACGGCCGGUAUGUGAAGGAGAACUGCAAACCUCUGAAGAAUAUAAGCUCCACAGAAGAAUGGAUUUUAAAAAAUCUGUUGCCAUAUCCCUAGCAUCAGGAAGAGUGCCUGUUCAACGAAUAUUUGUGGAAUGGACCAAUGGGUCCCCAGCUCUUCAUGUGCAAUGGCUCACACCUGUAAUCCCAGCACUUUGGGAGGCAGAGGCACGCAGAUUACCUGAGGCCAAGAGUUUGGGACCAGCCUGGACAACAUGGCGAAACCCUGUCUCUACCAGAAACACAAAAAAUUAGCUGUGCAUGGUGGCACAUGCCUGCAGUCUCAGCUACUUCAUGAGGCUGAGGUGGGAGAAUCGCUCAAGCUCAGGAGGUGGAAGUUGCAGUGAGCUGAGAUUGUGCCACUGUGCUCCAGCCUGGGUGACAGAGUGAGAACCUGUCUCAA
This 639-nucleotide small RNA is filed under the name Pan troglodytes (chimpanzee). RNAcentral's name for it is "processed transcript". The record is from RNAcentral. Lineage: Eukaryota; Metazoa; Chordata; Mammalia; Primates; Hominidae.